Molecule: ribosomal RNA, 253 nt
Filed under: uncultured bacterium
Lineage: Bacteria
Description: partial 16S ribosomal RNA
Rfam family: Bacterial small subunit ribosomal RNA
Source: RNAcentral
UACAGAGGGUGCAAUCGUUAAUCGGAAUUACUGGGCGUAAAGCGCACGCAGGCGGUCAUGUAAGUCGGGUGUGAAAUCCCCGGGCUCAACCUGGGAACUGCAUUCGAGACUGCAUGGCUAGAGUACGGUAGAGGAGGGCGGAAUUCCCGGUGUAGCGGUGAAAUGCGUAGAUAUCGGGAGGAACAUCAGUGGCGAAGGCGGCCCUCUGGACCAGUACUGACGCUCAGGUGCGAAAGCGUGGUGAGAAAACAGG